Molecule: small nucleolar RNA, 134 nt
Filed under: Dasypus novemcinctus (nine-banded armadillo)
Lineage: Eukaryota; Metazoa; Chordata; Mammalia; Cingulata; Dasypodidae
Description: Small nucleolar RNA SNORA70 (ENSDNOG00000037110.1)
Rfam family: Small nucleolar RNA SNORA70
About the family: snoRNA U70 seems to be exclusive to mammals and is a member of the H/ACA class of snoRNA which contain H (ANANNA) and ACA box motifs.
Source: RNAcentral
CUGCAGCCAAUUAAGCCGACCAUCCCCGUCUACCCAUGGGGGCCUGGUGUGCAGUGGCUGCAACUGCAGCCUUCUUGGUAGUGAACAUGGCCUGUUGCUUGUAUGGGUUGUCCUAAGGGACCUUGGAGACAGCC